This 254-nucleotide ribosomal RNA is filed under the name uncultured bacterium. RNAcentral's name for it is "partial 16S ribosomal RNA". It matches the Rfam family "Bacterial small subunit ribosomal RNA", at positions 524 to 776 of the family's 1533-position model. The record is from RNAcentral.
UACGUAGGGGACAAGCGUUGUCCGGAUUUAUUGGGCGUAAAGAGCUCGUAGGUGGUUCGGUAAGUCGGAUGUGAAAUCUCCAGGCUCAACCUGGAGGGGUCAUUCGAUACUGCCGUGACUAGAGGUCGGUAGGGGAGUGUGGAAUUCCUGGUGGAGCGGUGAAAUGCGCAGAUAUCAGGAGGAACACCCGUAGCGAAGGCGGCACUCUGGGCCGAUACUGACACUGAGGAGCGAAAGCGUGGGGAGCGAACAGG